AUUUUUUUUUUCUGAAAAGCGCUUUUUGAAUCCAAACAAAACCUUAAUUGGUUGGUAUAGUGUUAAAUCAACAGUCUAAUUUAAACAAUUAUGAUAUUUAUGAUCAGCAAAUGAAAGGUCAUUUUCAUAUAUUGUUUAGAACCAUCACCCACCACCACCAUAAUUAUAUUUAAUUAACAAUUGUAUAUGCUUGUAAUUAAUUUAAAUUAUCUAUUUAAACAAUAAUUAAUAUCAUUAUAUAAUUAUCCUCCUCUCAAUUGUUUUUUAAAUUCUUUAUUAAUUAAUAUCUUGUUUUUGCUAUACUAAUUAUUAUUUCCCCUUGAUUUAAUUUCUUCUUAAUAAGCAAAAAAUGAAGUGGGCAUUUUAAAGUAGUAUCUGAUGGGUACACUGAAAUGUUCAUAACAACAAAAAUGAAAUUCUUUCAUUUGUUGUGAUGGUUAAUAAAUGAGCCAAUUUUCAAGCAAAGCAGAGACUAAAUGGAAAAAUUCAACUACAUCUAGAAUUGAUUUAUUAUUAAUUAAAGAUAUAAAUAUAUAAAUUUAAUUAUUUUAUAUGCGAAACUUA
RNAcentral lists this unclassified non-coding RNA (564 nucleotides) under Hevea brasiliensis (rubber tree). The record is from RNAcentral. Lineage: Eukaryota; Viridiplantae; Streptophyta; Magnoliopsida; Malpighiales; Euphorbiaceae.